AUUCAGCUGACGAGUCCCAAACAUGACGAGACGCACGUUCUGGAU
This is a non-coding RNA of Schistosoma mansoni, 45 nucleotides long. Lineage: Eukaryota; Metazoa; Platyhelminthes; Trematoda; Strigeidida; Schistosomatidae. The record is from Rfam.